GAUUUUUCACGUAAUCAUA
RNAcentral lists this microRNA (19 nucleotides) under Schistosoma mansoni. RNAcentral describes it as "sma-miR-8435-3p". Lineage: Eukaryota; Metazoa; Platyhelminthes; Trematoda; Strigeidida; Schistosomatidae. The record is from miRBase by way of RNAcentral.